RNAcentral lists this ribosomal RNA (2643 nucleotides) under gut metagenome. Its description in RNAcentral is "bacterial LSU rRNA". It matches the Rfam family "Bacterial large subunit ribosomal RNA". The record is from RNAcentral.
AGGGCGCAUGGCGGAUGCCUUGGCUCUCGGAGGCGAUGAAGGACGUGAUAAGCUGCGAUAAGCUUCGGGCAGGUGCAAAUAACCUUUGAUCCGAAGAUUUCCGAAUGGGACAACCCGUCAUUCUGAAGGAAUGACAUCUUGCAUAGCAAGAGGCUAACGCAGGGAACUGAAACAUCUUAGUACCUGUAGGAAAAGAAAAUAAUAAUGAUUCCCCUAGUAGUGGCGAGCGAACGGGGAUUAGCCCAAACCAAUGUUGUUACGGCAAUAUUGGGGUUGUAGGACCACGAUGUCGCAAGAAAUUUAGUGAGAAGAACCCUUUGGAAAAUGGGACCAUAGACGGUGAUAGUCCGGUAUUCGAAGCUAAAUGAAGCGUAGUGGUAUCCUGAGUAGCGCGGGACACGAGGAAUCUUGCGUGAAUCUGCCGGGACCAUCCGGUAAGGCUAAAUACUCCCGAGAGACCGAUAGCGAACCAGUACUGUGAAGGAAAGGUGAAAAGCACUUCGAAUAGAAGAGUGAAAUAGUCCCUGAAACCGUGCGCCUACAAGCGGUCGGAGCUGCUUCAGCAGUGACGGCGUGCCUUUUGCAUAAUGAACCUACGAGUUACUUUUUCCGGCAAGGUUAAGGAUCUUGAGAUCCGCAGCCGAAGCGAAAGCGAGUCUUAACAGGGCGAUUAGUCGGAAGGAGUAGACGCGAAACCAAGUGAUCUACCCUUGGUCAGGUUGAAGGUUAGGUAACACUAACUGGAGGACCGAACCGAUAAGCGUUGAAAAGCUUCCGGAUGAACUGAGGGUGGGGGUGAAAGGCUAAUCAAACUUGGAGAUAGCUCGUACUCCCCGAAAUGCAUUUAGGUGCAGCCUUGGGAAUUACUACUGUGAGGUAGAGCGACUGAUAAGAUGCGAGGGCUUCACCGCCUAUCAAGUCUUGAUAAACUCCGAAUGCGCAGUAGUUCGAUCCCAGGAGUGAGGGCAUGGGUGCUAAGGUCCAUGUCCUAAAGGAGAAGAAUCCGGACCAUCAGCUAAGGUCCCGAAAUAAUUGCUAAGUUGAACUAACGAAGUCAGAUUGCUAAGACAGCUAGGAUGUUGGCUUGGAAGCAGCCAUUCAUUUAAAGAGUGCGUAACAGCUCACUAGUCGAGGAGUUUGGCGUGGAUAAUAAUCGGGCAUUAAGCAAUUUACCGAAGCUAUGGGAUCCGUAAGGAUCGGUAGGGGAGCAUUCCACUCUGCGUCGAAGGUGAAGCGUGAGCUUUGCUGGAGCGUGUGGAAAAGCAAAUGUAGGUAUAAGUAACGAUAAAGGGGGUGAGAAACCCCCUCGCCGAAAGACUAAGGUUUCCUGAUCAACGCUAAUCGGAUCAGGGUUAGUCGGGUCCUAAGGCUCAGCCGAACGGUGAGGCCGAUGGCAGAACAGGUUAAUAUUCCUGUACUACCUUAAGGAGUGACGUGGAGACGGAGGAGUGACAGCGCCGCGGACUGACGGAAUAGUCCGUUGAAGGGUGUAGAUGUUGAUUAUCCCAGGCAAAUCCGGGAUAAGAGUCGAACCUGAUAGUAUACCAAAUUCUUCGGAAUAAGGUAAUAGUGCGUGUAAGCAUACUCCCAAGAAAAUCCGCUAAACUUAAUCUUUAAGGUACCCGUACCGCAAACGGACACACGUAGUCGGGUUGAAUAUACUAAGGCGCUUGAGUGAUUCACGGUUAAGGAACUAGGCAAAUUGACCCUGUAACUUCGGGAUAAAGGGUCCCAACGAGAGUUGGGCGCAGAGAAUAGGUCCAGGCAACUGUUUAACAAAAACACAGGGCUGUGCCAAAUUGAAAGAUUACGUAUACAGCCUGACACCUGCCCGGUGCUGGAAGGUUAAGAGGAGAUGUCAUCGCAAGAGAAGCAUUGAAUUGAAGCCCCAGUAAACGGCGGCCGUAACUAUAACGGUCCUAAGGUAGCGAAAUUCCUUGUCGGGUAAGUUCCGACCUGCACGAAUGGUGUAAUGAUCUGGACACUGUCUCAACCGUGAGCUCAGUGAAAUUGUAGUAUCGGUGAAGAUGCCGAUUACCCGCGAUGGGACGAAAAGACCCCGUGAACCUUUACUAUAGCUUAACAUUGAAUUUGGGUAAUUGAUGUGUAGGAUAGGCCGGAGACUUUGAAUCAGGUACGCCAGUAUUUGUGGAGUCGCUGUUGAAAUACGGCCCUUUGAUUAUUUGAGUUCUAACUCGUAGAUGCGAGGACACUGUUUGGUGGGUAGUUUGACUGGGGUGGUCGCCUCCAAAAGUGUAACGGAGGCUUCUAAAGGUGCCCUCAGGACGAUUGGUAACCGUCCGUAGAGUGUAAUGGCAUAAGGGCGCUUGACUGGGAGACAGACAAGUCGAUCAGGUAGGAAACUAGAGCAUAGUGAUCCGGUGUUUCCGCAUGGAAGGGACAUCGCUCAAAGGAUAAAAGGUACUCCGGGGAUAACAGGCUGAUCCCUCCCAAGAGCUCAUAUCGACGGAGGGGUUUGGCACCUCGAUGUCGGCUCGUCACAUCCUGGGGCUGGAGAAGGUCCCAAGGGUUGGGCUGUUCGCCCAUUAAAGUGGCACGCGAGCUGGGUUCAGAACGUCGUGAGACAGUUCGGUCUCUAUCUAUCGUGGGCGUAUGAAAUUUGCGUGGCUCUGACACUAGUAC